Molecule: RNA transcript, 1555 nt
Organism: Zalophus californianus (California sea lion)
Lineage: Eukaryota; Metazoa; Chordata; Mammalia; Carnivora; Otariidae
Exons: 3
Source: RefSeq, a predicted model, not a curated record
CUCCCUGCAGCUGACUCUCCCAGGGCUGCCGGCGGCUGCCCCGGCCCGCAGCACCUACCACCAGCCCCUAGGUCCGGCACGGAAAGCCCCGGCGAAGCAGCGGCCAUCUUGUGACCUGGCCGCGGCGACCCACAGCAGCUCCCUGGACCGCGAACCUCCUGUCACCCUCACCCUGGGGCCACCUUGCCGAGAGCCCUUGUCUUCCCAGACCCUCCUCACGGGAGCCCGCCCUCCUUUUCUUCUGGUCUUCCACCACUCUGUCUCUAGGGAGCCCUUGUCAAUCUGACCACGCUCCUUCCCACAGUUUAUCCUCCCUCCCACCCCCAGUCACCACUGAAGCCCGCAUUUCAGUUUUCACAUUUGUUGAGUGCCGUUAGUAUAGGAAGAGGUUGAUAUUCAGGCCAUUUUGGGGGCAGUGUGCAAACCUCUUGGCAGGGUGUUAUCCCUUGAUCUUCCUGGGAGACCCCUAUUGUAUGAGAACUCUGAUACGACAAGGAGCCCCAAAGCUGCCUUCAUUCCCUAUUACUUUUGUUUGCAUCAUUCCAAAGCCGGAGAUAAUGGUGGCAGUCAUUACUGGCUACGAUCCAAUCGUUUAGGAGAAGAGAAUUUAAUACCCCUCUCACACCUGAGCCCCAGCAUUCCACAGGCCAAUGGCACUUUGUAGGGCCCCACUUUGUGGCUGAAACAAGAAUGCGACUGCAGUGAAGGAUUGCCAUCAUCAUCCCGUGAAGGUGUCCUGUACCAGUGGAGAGUUCCUUUUCAAGUUUACUCCCAUGGGAGUAGCUGUGGACUCCAGAGGGAUUGUACUGAUGGAGGCACCAGCUGCACCCCGGUAUCCGACAGCUCUGGCCCCUUCCUGUCCUGUAUCAACAGUCUGCUGAACGAGUGUAGGGACCAGAGGGACUGGCACUGGCCAUGUGGUGGUGGCUUUUGCUGAUAACCACGGAUUUAAGGCCAACGACUGCACAGGGCCCUGCCUGGCUCACAGAGGGACGGAUGUAAGGGUGAUCAGCCAAGAGGGUCUGGCCAGGAGGUGGGGUCUGACCUGGCAGCACUGAAUGUGGGCUGUGGGCAUUCCUGCUGCCUUCACUCUCCCUUCUCCCAACACUGGGGUUGCAAUUUUUGUAUCCGAUUUUGCUUUGGGGACUGAGUGGGCCUGUACGAUGGCCCAAGGACUGGUGCAGAGCUUCACCUAACCGUACCUCUACCCCCAGCCCGGGGCCAGAACUGCCUCUUACUCUCGGGCCUAAGUCCCUCUAGUUGUCUUCCUACCACCCCAUACACAUUGACAGAGACGGGCAAUACCCCACUUCUCAUAUUAAAUGUAUACACACACACAAAGCCAAGUGCAGGAUGAUACAUAUUUUAAGAGCACAUUUCCCAUUUACCAUUACUUCAUCAAAAGAGGUCUUGUCAGGGGUCUCCACUAGGAAUUGCCUGAUGGGCUUUCUACGUGUGUAAUAUGUGCAAAAACCCAUAUGGAUUAUUGCCUGAGUUUAUCUUUCAUGUUCCAAAAAACUAUAAGCAAACCAGAGAAAUAAAAAAUAAAAAAUAA